This is a long non-coding RNA of Pezoporus occidentalis (night parrot), 8664 nucleotides long. RefSeq lists it as uncharacterized. The record is from RefSeq and is a predicted model, not a curated record. The transcript is spliced from 2 exons. NCBI's taxonomy places the organism in Eukaryota, Metazoa, Chordata, Aves, Psittaciformes, Psittacidae.
UGCCUCUUGUAGUUGCCUCCUGACUGGCAGCAGAGUGCUUGCUUCCCAGUGCCACAGUUCCUGGUGUCACCUGGCACCUACCCAUCUGUCCGUUGCCGGCUGGGAACGGUACCGUGCCUGGGGGUCUGACAGUGGCACAUAUAGCACAUAAAGGGAGUCUAGGGAGAAGUUAAACCAGAUGAUUUAUCAGUCAGGGAGAAUGUGCAAAAUGUGCCCUCAGCGUGGAGGACUAUGAAGAAACGGGGUUGGAAACCAGUUACCUGUUACCUUCUGUGGGCCCCAGGGAGCAAACACUGUGAAAAUACUUGGCUUAAAGCUUUGAGGACUAAGUAAUUGCUGGAAGCUCUGGGUUACUUGGGACAUAAGCAUGCAUUUAUAAGCACUGAAAGUACUGAAGAGAGUUUCUUCUGGUUUCAGUUAAUAAUAGGGCACGUUGUGUACAGUUUGUUUGCUUGAUUGGUUCAUUUUAUUGUGUGUAAAUACACUGUAGACACAAUUUUGUCUUUUGUUCAGUGUUACUCAGCUGGUGUGCUUCUUGUCAAUCCAGUGAAUUACAGGGUAUAAGUAGCUUGCUCCAGUCUGUCUGUGAAACAAGGUUUAAAAUAAAGGCCCGCAAGGGAUAUGGUGGGACUGCAGAGGAGUUAGAAGGAAGGUAAGCAGAGGAGGAGGCAGCAUGUGCAGCAGAAUGGAAACCUUCAAAGCCAUGUGUGCCACAGGCACAGCAACUCAGUGGCAAUGUGAGUUGCCUCAGUAAACAAAGGAGUUCUGCUCUCCCAUGUGUGGUAUAAAACUCGGGCUCCAUUGGUCUGAGUGGAAAUGACAUGGGUUUGCAAUGGGGCAAAUGAGAGCAGAAUCUGGCCAACUGUUAAUAGCUUUUUUGUAUUUAGGGCUGAAAUAAAGUGGCUGUGUAUGCAAAUAAUUGUGCAAGCAUGACUCCUAAGUGACUUAUAAGAGGAGAAUUCAGUAUUCAAUUGUUGGAAAUACAGAGGGUUUGGCACAAAUCUCCCAGUUUGGCUGAGCUGUGCUUGACCUGUGACAGAGAGAGCAAAGGUGAUUUUAAGUCCUGGGAUCGGAGGGGCCAGUAUGUAAUGUAACUCAAGGCAAAGUCAGCACAUUGGCUGCUUUGUAAUUACACAUGCUUAUUUUGUGUACAAACCCAGUUGGUUCAUUACCUUUUAUUUCCGUUAUCACAAUCUUUAUGUGUGAAUCUGAGCUAUUUUACUUCAAAGGGGUGGCAUGUAACUAGAAUUUAAAAAAAAAAAAAAGGUUUGGUAAGAAGAAGUUGGUUGUUUUGAUAUAAAGAUGUUCUGAUGUAACAAAAAUGGUAAAAUUGUUUAAAUCUAUGCGCAGAAUCUGAAAACUCUGUGGGAAGCCUAACAAGUUGAAAAUAACCUGUCUUCCGUGCCCUGCAUUUCUUGCAGUUUUUUGACCCAAGUGUCGGAACAAGGAUAGUUUAGAUAAAAGAGAUAAUCCAAAGCAAUCAUGUUGCUGUAGCUUAACACACUGUCGCUCCAGCUGAACUUCAGCAGUCCUGCUUUUGUGCCCUGUGGUGAAAUGGUACCUGUUGGCUUAAGCCAUCUUCAUGUUGUUAAAUUAUUAAACUGUGGUAAUCUCACCACAAGUUAUUGGCUAUCCUUAUGUCAAGAAGUGUGGCUAUCCCAUUCUAACUCCUCAGCUCAGAGGAUGUUAUUCCUGAGGCCAAGAUUUAAAAAUGCUCUCACCUUCCAAAGGUCCUCCAGAAUCAUUCAAUAAAGUAAAUUUUAUGGAUACAAUCUCCUCUUUUUAUUUAUUUUUAUUUCCCCCUUUCUAUCAUGUAGAAGUGUGGAUGGUGUGGAGAGACAUCCGAUUUCAUUGGGGCACAAGUGUGAUCCCAGAGCCAGUGGGGUAUGUCUGAAAAUACUUCCUGGCAAAAGUUAUGCUGGCUGAGAAUCAGAAGCUUGCAUCCAGUUGACAUCACUGGAAGAUGCACACACAGAGUGAAAGUGCUAUGUGGCCUUUAAGCUUCUGUUCCUGUGGUACGUGAGGUUUUAUACUACACAGAAGAACUAUUCACUUUUCUGGGUAGUUGAUACAAAAUGGGUAUCUGUGAUCUGUUCCAGUCUGUUCUGUCUGGGGUAUUGUCUCCAUGACUUCAAGAGAGUGCCAUGUGUGCACAACAAUAAGGCUCUUUGGAUGGAAACAGUGCAACGCAGGACUCACUAACUGAUGAUAAUUUUUAAAGAGAUGAGUACAACAGGUCCUACUCAUCUAGAUUGUAGGAGUAACUUGAGAGAAUAUGUUCACCAAACUGAAAUGUUCUCUAAAAUAAUUGCUAACAGGUUACUUACGCUUGUUUUCUUCAAAAGCUGUAUGUUUUCCUAAGCCAAAUGGAAAAUUAGAUUUUCUUCUUAUUUAAAUAUAUGAGGAGUAACUGUGAAAAUUGUUUGGCUUACAUGGAUGUUAAGUAAGUGUCACCAGCGGAUAAUCAGACCCAGGACUUCCUUUGUGUGCUUGGCCAAAGGAAGGGACAUUUCCAUUUUCUGUUGCUGAUUGAGUUCCCCUGUGAUCUCGUCAAAUACACAGAAACACUGAAACUGUAUCAAAAAUAUGGUCUGUCUUGUGCCCUACCUUGCGUAUAUAUCACACCAUGAAGUUCCCCAUUGGUGAACCCAACGAAGCAGAUGGAUUGCAUGAGGAAUCUUGUGCUGCUGUGGUUGGCACCAACUGUGGCUGGUUGCAUCAGAAAUCACAGCUGCUCUCUAAGCCCUGUCUAUGCAUCUACAGCACCAGACUCCAGGGAACUGAUUAACAGAAAGAAAAUCCUCUUAAUCUGGGUGGUGUUGGUUUGUCAUCGUCAGGUCAGUACUUACAUAGCUGCAAGCCUACUGCUGCCUGCUUUGCAAGAGGCAGGACAUUAAUUACAGGGCGCGGCAUAAUGUAUCAUGCUUAGGCAUUUGAGGUGCUGACAAGAUGAUACUGCCCAGAGCAACUGCAGAGAGCAUGGUCAUGUCCAACACAAGGUAUGGGUUUAAGAUCUCAAAGCCCCCUGUUAUCCAGUGUGUCACUCCUCAAGAUAACAUGUGGCAUACAUGCUGAAACCUAAAACUCCCUUGCUUUCUGCCUCCCCAGCAACUUCAUACAUGCAUUCAGCUUCUCUUUAGUGUGAGCCACAAGGUGAGAAUCAGGGUACUACAGGGAUCGGAAGAGCUUUGGUGUUCCCUAGGCCAGCUGGAUGUGCAGCAGUCCUGUGCUUUUUGGCCUGAAAAGCACCAGAGCCUCUGAGUAAUGGUGCUGGGCAAGGUAAAGGUAUGGAGCAGACAAACUGCUGAGGUGCAUAGAUCCCUGCAAGACCAAGAGCCCAUUUUGGGGUGUGGAGGCGAUAUUGUGGGUCAGCAAGUGUGGGACUGAGUUAAGUAAGAGAAUGUAAGAGCAUGCUCACUAUAUGGCUGCUAAGCAGGGAGCAAGAAAGGAUUUUACUGUUUGUGGUUUGAGAGAUGGAGUGGGGAGUGAUGGAACAGGUAGAGAAGAAUUUGGUUGGACUGUGAGGGGAUUAUACAAUGUACCCAGGGCUUGCAAUUUAUCCCUAUCCAGGUUGGAAAUGGUCUAGUAUUCUUCAGUAGUGUUACAAGCAUCUGAUAGGUGCUGAGCACCUAACUCGCUACCCAGAGCAUUGACAGUUUACCCCCGUCUCGUUUGUCAUAGAUACCUGCAGAUUUAAUGCUUUUCUUUGGGAGAAUACAUCACUUUCCUGUCCUAUGAAACAAUGCUCCUCUUCUGCUAUUCUCAUGGAGAUGUGGUGCAAUGAAAUCACUUCCUAGCUAGGGGCUGGUGAAUCACUUUGUUGAUAUUCAUAAAUCUUCUCUUUGCUGCCAUUUUCCGCACUGGUCUUAAUAAAAUUUCCAAAGGCAAAAAUAAUAAUUUCAGAGACUUUUUGUUACAGAGAUAAUACUGGAAUUAUGUCAUUGCAUGCCGUACUGAACCCAAGCUCCCAGCUACCCAGACCUAUUUGGGUAGCUGGAGAUAUUGACACCUAUACAAUCACUCCCUCCCUGGCAGCAGAGAGCUUGCUUGCAGCAAGGCAGAGAGGGGGAGCACACGCAUUUGUCUCACAGGCUCUGGUGGGUAGUCCAAUAACUUAGCUUAAGGUUUAAAGCUCUGCUGUGGGUCUGAUAACCUCUUGCAUGGGAACAGGAGCGCUCUGAGCUGUCCUGGCUGUGUGCAAAGGCUCUGUUGCUAGUUGAGAGUCUCCAAUAUUUUAUUGCCUGCCUAGGAAGUGUAACUCUUUGGUCAUGUCCAUCAGCUCUGCAUCUUAAAUGGUAUUAAGAAGGGAGAAAGCUGUGGAGAAUGCUGCCACAGAAAGCAGAAAUAGGCAGGACCCUCUGAAUUUCCUUGUCUGAGGGGAGAUCAGACAGCAGUCUGUGUGAUUGUUUUGAGGCAAUGUCAGAGUUCUUCAAUAUGCAUCUUCUUACACAUUGGCACAGGGCUUUUUCCUGUAGAAAAGGAUUGCACAUGGUGUGGAUAUGAUCUUGUGAAGGUAAAGGCACUUGUGGUUUAUUCUUGGCAAAGCCUGAGGCUGCUUUAAAGUCAUCUUUAUGACAGCACUAAUCUUCUGGCAACUGCAGGCUCAGGGAGUUGCACAAGAAGUACAGAGGUGCGUUUGCACACUGCCUUGUUUGACGGGCCAAGCAUCCCUCUGUCACAAAGAUCCAGCUGUUUCUCCAACCGAGCACAAGCAUGUGUUCCAGCAAGCCCACUGCUGCCCUGGCAGGUUAUUUCCCUGUUGGUUUGCCCCGGUGGCUAUGCCUUUCCCUUUCUCUGUGAUACAUCACACAUUGCCAGCUGGUACUUCUAACAUGUUCAGUAGAAUGUUAAAAUGAAACAUCUUAGGAGGAGGUCAGCGUGCUGUGCGGGACAUGGCCUGUGUGUGGGCAGCAUCUGACAGAUUCCUGUCACCGUUAACCAACAGGCUUGUCAGAAAUGAUAGCACCUGCCUGUGGACUGUACUAACAUGCAGUACCAGCCAAAAUAGGAAGUGUUAAUAGUAUUGUUUGCCCCCUAUUCAUCAUCCCUCCCCACUGUGAAAGGCUCAAUGUGAAGAUCUGGAGGGAUAGUUAUGAGUAUUAGGGUAAUGACACCAGAUACCAUUCAGUUCUGAGCAGCCAAUGUGUAAUUAUUGUAAUAGAAAAGCAGCACAGAAAAUUGCUGAAGAGUUUUUCAGUUACCAGUGACUUUUCCACACAUAGGCAGGUAAGAAGGUAACCUGUCUAAAACAUUUCUUGUUCCAGAAUUAGUGCCAAGGAUCAGAUCUUCCUGAUCCAUUGCUGGGAAGCUCUGUUCUCCCAUUUACAGUGUGCCUACGUGCUGGAGAUUUUUCUGUUUAAUUUCUCUUCUGUGAUGGAUGAAAUCAGUUGACAUCUGUUUUUUAUAUUGAAAAGUUGUUGGCCUUUUUCUGCCUAUGUCGCAGCCUUUAGUGCGUUUAAUGUAUGUUAUUAGCACUCCAUAGCAGAAUGCUGUUUUGUGCCCAAUAGGGAUUCUCAAAAUAGCCAUUGCUUCACCCUCUCUCUAAGCUUCUCUGUAGUCCAAGCUGCUUAUUUUUCCAUGUGGUCCACUGUGAACCUCCCAUUGUAAAUUAUCUGCCCUUGUAACCCACAUCCUAAUUUUUCUUACUCUGUUCAGUGUAACUACUGACCAUUGAGUUUAGCAAAUCCAGUUGGUAUUAAGAGGAUACCUGGGAGAUUUUCCUAGUUGCAUGAUUUGUACUUACUGUGUAAGUUUUGUAAGGCUGUUUGAUUCCCUGCAGCCCCCAUCUCAGAUGUGGGACCUUGGAAUUCGGUUGAUUUGAAAAUCACUUUUUCUUCAUUUGCAGUCCCCAGGGGACUGUCAUUGCAGCAUUGCCUUGCGACUGUGCUGAAUUAAGAGUCAGAGCCCUGCUGAAGUUCCCAGGCCAGAGGAUAUGAUGGCUGCUAGAAACAUCGGUGCCGUUCUAUGUCUAUGUUGGGGUAUUUUUUCUUUGUUUGUUUGUUUGCCUGUUUGUUGUUCCCCCCCGGACAAAAUCUUUUUGCUUUGUAAUGGUCAGCGGUUCUGAGGAAAAACAGUUAUUUCUUAGGUACCUAUUAAAAUUUAAGAAAACAGUGGUUCUUCUUCCCCCUUAUGUGCGCACCUCCUCUUUCCAUAUGCUUUAGUGUUUUAAACAGAUCACCUCUUUCCGUUGUUACAGGAAAACAUUUAAAUGGCACACCAUUUUAUAGAAAAAGGAAGGAAAAAUCCAGUAACAUUGUACUCCGCCUGUAGGAGCGCUCAGUCUAGGAAUGGCAAAAUCAGCAAAUUUGAAAUGUAGGACAACAGGUGAGGAGAAGAAGGGAGUGGAGUUGCAGAUGCUAGAUAAGGACAGGAUUAGACUGAUCAAAGAGACAGGAGGAAUGACAGAGGAUACUUGGCAAGAGAGACCCAAUGAUAUGGGUCAGCUUUACUCCCAUUGAAUCCAAGAGUUAUCCCAGAUUUAUGGAGGCACGACAUCCAAAGUGCUCCCAAAAGCUUCCAUCCAAAGCAGAGGGAGUGAGAAAGUGGGUAGGGAGGAAGAAAAGCAGAGGGGUUGGGGCCAGCCUGGAACAGGCCUGUGUAAAUGUGAGCUGGGCUCUUGCACAGUCCAUGGGAGUUUUCCUAAAAACAAUGGUGGUCUCAAGACUUGAAUUUGACCCAAAAGCAGAGAGAAUUACAGCAGUUCUGCCAUGUGGUAGGUCUGCAUUUGGAAUUGCAAGCCUUGUUUUGCCUCUGGAGUCCUCAGCAUUGCACAGUCCCAUUACAGCAGUGGUAGCAAUGCAGGAUUUAGUGACCGUGAGUUCCUAUCCUUUGGCAGCUGCACUGGUCCAUGUGCAUUUCUAGUGAAGACUGUCCCUAGAGUGAAGGUUAUCUGGUGGAACUAGCAACAGCAGCUUUCCAGAAAGCAACACUAGUCUUGCUAUAGGCACAACUGGGUAGCAUUUUCCCCAGCCAAGCCCUGGGACUGUGUGGAAGGGUCUGUUUGAUGAAAUCUGGGGCAGCUGAAGGGCAGACAGGCUAUUCUGGUGUUUGCGUGUGUGCUGGAGAAGGUGGAGGCAUGCCUGUGCAGUGUGGGGAACCUGAAACUUCUCCAAGAGCUCUGACUAGGAGAUGCAAAUGUAAUGCUUUAAAAAAGGCAAUUUACUGACAGAACAAAAACUAGUAAUGAGAUGAACAAUUAGCUCAUCUUUCAGUUUUCUGGAUACUUUAACAGCUGAAGAGUUAAAAUUAAUCUCGCAAUUAAUCUAAAAACAUGUUGGAGCAUUAAUUUGAGGAUGUUAAAGUCUUCCUGAUCAUUUUAUGGUACUCUUUUGGAGGAAGAGUGUCUUAACGUCAAGUUAGCUUAACCCUCACUUUGUUAUUGUUACUAGUCAAAUUAAUUGCUGUCUUUAGCAGAGAUCACAAACCCUCCACAAGUCUUACUGUAUUUACUUAUAUGUUUUCAUUUCUUGAAAGGUGAAGAUGUAUAAAAACAUAAAGGAACAUUGUUAGCAGUUUAUUGCAGCUAGCAGUCACACCUGCAUUUUCAGCGCAUCUUAGUAAUGUAUGUGAAUCCAUAGAACAUAUCUGAAAUUUUAUAUGUAUUUUAAGGUUUGCUCUUGCUCCACUUGUGUCUUUUCCCAAUCAUCAUUUCAAAAACGUCAGAGGAACAACAACUGAGCAUUUCUCCUGUUCACACCUGUGCUUUGGGAUGUGAAAGAAUAACAUUGGCACAGAGAGACCUGGACUUCCUCUUGGAUGCGUCUGAAUGAAUUUAUGGGGCAGUCCUCUGUGAUCAGUUUGAGAGCAGCUGAUGGUGAGCAUCACCAAGAUAUGGUACUGGACUGCUUAUCAAGAAAAACUAGAUUCAUGAAACAUCACUAUCCUAAACUGCAGCCUCACCAUGAGGACAUUAGGGCAGCCACAACUGUGCAAAGUAUCUUCACCAGCAAUCUUUCACCCUCUGACAAAUCCUUUCUUCUUGAAGGUGACUGUGGGUGGUCUUCCUUUGUCUAAUUUCUGUAAAUUCGGUACAUCACUUUCUAGUUAUGCAGCUGAUACUCGUGUUUAUAUGAAUGGCCAUUUAAAAAAAAAGAAAGAUCAGAUGUUUGUUGUUUCAUUUCAACAUAAAUCAAACUUUGUAUUCAAAUAGCAAUUCUAGUUUAGCCCCAGGAAUAGCUUUAGUAUUGCUAAGUGUCUGGAGAGUAUUGACUACAGAGACAUGAUUUUAAGCAGGCUAUAAUAGUUUCUACAGCUGUUAACAGUUUGCAGAAGAAAGGCGGUAUUAUUCCACGGUGUUUAAAAUGUGCAUGACUUGCAUUGCACAGAAGUCAGAUUGGGAGAAUGUCAGAUUUUUUUUUAUUCUGAAAUUCUGCCAGGAAAGUCUUCAAUAACUGGAGAAAUUCUUUUCACUGGUGAAAUCAACAUGCAGCACAUUGUGUUAUUAUAAUUCCUUAUAGCUCACCAUGAAAGUUGUCUUUGUAUGCGUGGAUGUACGGCUUGUACUGUUUUGUUUUUAUUUAUUCUGCAUUCUUUAUUAUAAUGUUCUUUCCUUUUCUUCAGACCAGAAAGAUUGUUAUUGAGCCUUCCACAAAGCUGAAAUAAUGCUGUGUGUUAAAAAAAUGUUAACAAUUUGAAGAAGUUAUAAAAAUUUAUAAGUUGACUGAA